This 460-nucleotide ribosomal RNA is filed under the name Pontastacus leptodactylus (narrow-clawed crayfish). Its description in RNAcentral is "Astacus leptodactylus (narrow-clawed crayfish) partial small subunit ribosomal RNA". The record is from RNAcentral. Lineage: Eukaryota; Metazoa; Arthropoda; Malacostraca; Decapoda; Astacidae.
AAUUUUUUAUAAAAUUUUAUCUUAAUAAAAAGUGAAAUUAGAUUAUUAAAUGUAAAAUUUUAUUUAAUUUUAAUAUAAUGAAGCUUAAAAAAUUGAGGUAUGAAUUAGGAUUAGAUACCCUAGUACACUUUAAAUUAAUUGUAAAAAGACUAGAAUACUAAAAGUUAUAUUCUUUAAAUUUAAAAAAUUUGGCGGUAUUUUAGUCUAGUUAGAGGAACCUGUUUUUUAAACGACAAUACACGCAUUAUCUUACUUAUUCUAGUAAUCAGUUUGUAUACCGUCAUUAUAAGAUAAUUUAAGAGAGAAUAUUAUUAAGAUCAAUAUUAUGUGAGUAUAUUAGAUCAAGGUGCAGCUAAUGAAUAAGAAAAAAUGGGUUACAAUAAAAAUUAUUUAUACGGAUUUAAUAUUUAAAUAUAUUAAUGAAGGCGGAUUUAAUUGUAAAAUAAAAUUAAUAGGUUUU